GUGCUCACUUCAGCAGCACAUAUACUAAAAUUGGAAUGAAGCAAAGAAGAUUAGCAUGGCACCUGCACAAGGAUGACAUGCAAAGAACAUCCUGCUAAUAAAUGAGU
Small nuclear RNA from Vulpes vulpes (red fox), 107 nucleotides. Lineage: Eukaryota; Metazoa; Chordata; Mammalia; Carnivora; Canidae. The record is from Ensembl.